This 406-nucleotide ribosomal RNA is filed under the name uncultured bacterium. RNAcentral describes it as "partial 16S ribosomal RNA". It matches the Rfam family "Bacterial small subunit ribosomal RNA", at positions 28 to 526 of the family's 1533-position model. The record is from RNAcentral.
GAUGAACGCUGGCGGCGUGCCUAAUACAUGCAAGUCGAGCGAGCGGCGGACGGGUGAGUAAUGUCUGGGAAACUGCCCGAUGGAGGGGGAUAAAUACUGGAAACGGUAGAUAAUACCGCAUACCAUCGGAUGUGCCCAGAUGGGAGUAGCUAGUAGGUGGGGUAACGGCUAACCUAGGCGACGAUCCCUAGCUGGUCUGCGAGGAUGACCAGCCACCCUGGACGUGAGACACGGUCCAGACUCCUACGGGAGGCAGCAGGGGUGAAUAUUGCACAAUGGGCGCAAGCCGGCUGCAGCCAUGCCGCGUGUAUGAAGAAGGCCUUCGGGUUGUAAAGUACUUUCAGCGAGGAGGCGUUACGCGCAGAAGAAGCACCGGCUAACUCCGUGCCAGCAGCCGCGGUAAUAC